This 505-nucleotide ribosomal RNA is filed under the name uncultured bacterium. RNAcentral's name for it is "partial 16S ribosomal RNA". It matches the Rfam family "Bacterial small subunit ribosomal RNA", at positions 899 to 1397 of the family's 1533-position model. The record is from RNAcentral.
ACUCAAAUGAAUUGACGGGACCCCGCACAAGCGGUGGAGCAUGUGGAUUAAUUCGAUACUAACCGAAGAACCUUACCCAGACUUGACAUCGACGGAAAGCAUCAGAAAUGGUGCCCUCCACCCACAAGGUGGACCUGAAGACAGAUGUUGCAUGGCUGUCGUCAGCUCGUGCCGUGAGGUGUUUGGUUAAGUCCAGCAACGAGCGCAACCCUCAUCACGUGUUGCCAGCGGGUAAUGCCGGGAACUCACGUGGAACCGCUCCGGUAACGGAGAGGAAGGUGAGGAUGACGUCAAGUCAGCAUGGCUCUUACGUCUGGGGCUUCACACAUGCUACAAUGGGCGCAACAAAGGGUUUGCAAUUCCGCGAGGCGGAGCUAAUCCCAAAAAUACGCCCUCAGUUCAGAUUGCAGUCUGCAACUCGACUGCAUGAAGUCGGAAUCGCUAGUAACCGCAGGUCAGCUAUACUGCGGUGAAUACGUUCCCGGGGUUUGCACACACCGCCCGU